AUUGUAGUGUAAUAUUUAUGCCUACUAUACUGUAUAACACGUUAUUCAAAAGGGAUAUGCCAUUUCUGAGACACGAUAACAAAAAAAAAGUUUGAGGAAAUUAUUUUGCUUCUAUUUAUAGCUCUGUCAAAAGUCAGAAGACUCUAAAUGCUUUGCAAAAAUGGUUUCACAUUUGCUUAAAUGCUUCAUCACAGUCACAUUUAAAAUAGUGACUCUAAACAAAGAAGAAAGCAGCACUGUCAUCAGAUGCAUGAUAAACCAAAAUAUGAAAAUGGGAAAUGUUUAAUUAACCUAGUCAUUGGGUGGGUUAAGUACAUGGGUGAAUUUUAUAUGGGCCAGGUCACUGGUAGUUCUAGUAUGGAAUGGGAGAAGUGAAAGUUCAGUUCUAGAACUUUCCAUACUUCCAAGUUUACUGCAAGUU
This 421-nucleotide long non-coding RNA is filed under the name Bos taurus (domestic cattle). RNAcentral's name for it is "long non-coding RNA NONBTAT001272". Lineage: Eukaryota; Metazoa; Chordata; Mammalia; Artiodactyla; Bovidae. The record is from RNAcentral.